This 515-nucleotide ribosomal RNA is filed under the name uncultured bacterium. RNAcentral's name for it is "partial 16S ribosomal RNA". It matches the Rfam family "Bacterial small subunit ribosomal RNA", at positions 28 to 523 of the family's 1533-position model. The record is from RNAcentral.
GAUGAACGCUGGCGGCGUGCCUAAUACAUGCAAGUCGAGCGAAUGGAUUAAGAGCUUGCUCUUAUGAAGUUAGCGGCGGACGGGUGAGUAACACGUGGGUAACCUGCCCAUAAGACUGGGAUAACUCCGGGAAACCGGGGCUAAUACCGGAUAACAUUUUGAACCGCAUGGUUCGAAAUUGAAAGGCAGCUUCGGCUGUCACUUAUGGAUGGACCCGCGUCGCAUUAGCUAGUUGGUGAGGUAACGGCUCACCAAGGCAACGAUGCGUAGCCGACCUGAGCGGGUGAACGGCCACACUGGGACUGAGACACGGCCCAGACUCCUACGGGAGGCAGCAGUAGGGAAUCUUCCGCAAUGGACGAAAGUCUGACGGAGCAACGCCGCGUGAGUGAUGAAGGCUUUCGGGUCGUAAAACUCUGUUGUUAGGGGAGAACAAGUGCUAGUUGAAUAAGCUGGCACCUUGACGGUACCUAACCAGAAAGCCACGGCUAACUACGUGCCAGCCGCCGCAGUAA